UUUAUUUUUAUCUGACUGUAUUUUCUUUCUACCUUUUAGAUGAUGUAUUUAUUUUUAUAGGAAUUUAGGCUUUGGAAUAUGUUCUGCAAACAGUGGCCAAAUCUACAGUAACCUUUACCAAAGAUUUCGGUUAUGAUUUACCCAAGAAUCAGAGAACCACUGUAAUUAUAAGUGUAUCAUGUAGCUACUCAGAUUUUUAUUGCACUUAAACCCGGUCAGUACCCUGAUAUAGGAAAGAAAGUCUACCCUAUUAGCUUCUACUGUAUUUCAUUUGAAAAAAAAAAAAGCUGAAACUGUAAAUCCAAUCUUUCAUUCCCUGUGGACCAAAAAUCUCAUAGGGAGCUUUGUGUAUGAACUGUUGGAUCAGACUGCUGGAGAGAAAAGUCCCUUGUUAGACUGAGAACUCACUUGGCAGCAUAUGCUGUUGUAAUGUAUACACUUUAAACUAAACCUACACCAUCUGUUCUGCAGUAAUUACAGAUGCAGUAUUCACAUGAUGCACAGCUGCAUUACAGAAAGGAAAGAAACAAGUGGAUCAUAUACCAGAAUUGUGUCAGAUUUCAGGACUAUCAGAUAACAGCUUGAAGAGAAAAAAGAAGAAAAGAAAAAUGGAAAGAAGCAGAUUUUCUCAGAAGUCACACAGUAUUUCUUCUAGAAUUAUGUUUGUUGUUCUAUAUAGAAAUCUGUUAUUUUUUUCUCUUUUCAUUUCCUUUAGCCACGUGGGCUCUGAAAAGCUUUUUUCUCGUUAUGCAGAGUGUCUUUCAGUAAUUCUAUAAUGGGGAUUAAGAAAAUAAAAAUCCCAGUAGGAGUCUAAUGACUAAAUUACACAAUAUUUGUUUAUUGUUUGAAGGAGAUAUAACUUACAAGAUAUGCAAGUAAAACAAAUAAAUGUUCUUAGGGAUUAGAGGUUGCCUGCAUAAUAAUGCAGCUGUCAUCAUAAAAUAUUUUAAUUUGAAUUAGACAUUAAGAAUAACACUUAGUAGGGAAUUGUUUUUCAUGUAAAGUCACUUAUACAUAAACACUUAACUUUUAGUAAUGUGUAAUUAUAAAUAAAAUUUCUAAUUAAAUCUAAAUGAAAACAUAUGCUAUUGAUUGCUUCUUGAAGUGACUAAUGCUAUAUGUUUUCAAGGUUUCAUAGCUUGAAAACUUAAGUUUUUUAAUGUUGCAAACUUUAAAUCUAUGACCAAGAAAUUUUGAGUUAAUUGCCCUUGGAGAGGAAAGGAAGAUCAUGAAUGUUUUGCAGUGAGUGGCUCUAUUUGUUCAGCCUAAGUUGAAGUGUUUAUAACCUCUAACAGUUACUGUGCUCCUGACAGUUGCAUCAUGCCAUGAACACUGGCUCAGACAUGUAAAAGUCUGCAUGUUCUUUCUCCGUUCAUAUUUAUACUCAACUAUUCUAUGUAUGCAUAUACUAGUCCAUGUUUAAUAUCAGAUACUGCUUUAGCCUUCAUGCUUAUUUGUAUCAGUAAAAGCCCAAUUUACAUUAGUAUAUAAAAUUACUGGACAUUCAUACUCACAGUUAAACCUUGCUCUGUAGUCUGGCAGUCUGUGACAGCUUUAAAAAAAUGAGUUAUACUGAUGUGUUAGUGGAUGGGACUAGGUCAACAGGAUGCAAUGUGAAACCCUGCAUCUUCAAAUCACCAGUUCAAAAAUAGAGUUAGUCAUCUUUGAUACAGCACAAAAUGGCUGUUCACUGACAGAACUUUCUACUUGGGGAAAAAUCACUGGAUAAUUCACAUAGUUUUAGGCAGGACCUUAAAGGGUAAACCAACAUUUAUGUGAUUUUGUGCAGUAACUGAUUAAACCAAAUUAGUUGAAAAACUACAGUCCUGUGUUUUUUCCCCUGUCCAGACUGCAACAAAUUUUGUUACUUAUCUCAACAAGGACAGCUGAAUAAGUCAUCUGCCUGCUCUUUCGCGAAGGCAGCAUGUGAGCACUGGUCUAGGUUUGCCUUGAUAUACUGAAAUGUUGCUGGAGGCCAGGGUAAGCAUCUGGGUUUGAAAGUUGUUAACUGUACAAGUGUAUACUGCUGGUACAUGUGAACAGAUAUCCAAAAGCACCCUCAUCCUACCUGAUGGAGUUCAAGGUUGAGUCAUAAAGAUAACACAGAAGAAGUUUAAAUGUCCUCCAUAUGUUGUACCUGCAAUAAAAGAUCUCUAUUAAUGUC
Anas platyrhynchos (mallard) is the source of this 2164-nucleotide non-coding RNA. The record is from RefSeq and is a predicted model, not a curated record. NCBI's taxonomy places the organism in Eukaryota, Metazoa, Chordata, Aves, Anseriformes, Anatidae.